Long non-coding RNA from Caretta caretta (loggerhead turtle), 1557 nucleotides. RefSeq lists it as uncharacterized. The record is from RefSeq and is a predicted model, not a curated record. NCBI's taxonomy places the organism in Eukaryota, Metazoa, Chordata, Testudines, Cheloniidae.
UGUCGGGCCGCGGCAAGCAGGGAGGUAAAGUACGGGCUCUUGGGCUGCAGUUUCCAGUGGGCCGUGUAUACCGUCUGCUUCAGAAAGGUCGCUAUGCGGAGCGGAUAUUCCGACUGAAGAUAAGCACGCUAGCCUAUUUUACAGUUUCAAAAAUAACAGUUCUCACUUCUUGUGAUGAUCUUGGGUUUAAGCUGGUGAAAACUAGCCCACAAAUCAUCUCCUAAAAAAGCAGAAAGAAGCUGAUUCUGUGACAGAAGAUAAUAUAAUGUGAAAGAUAAAAUUAAGGCAUCAUAUACUAUUUGAUUAGCCUGUAACAGCUAAUAAGCAAGUGUCUACUUAAAUAUCCAGGGAAGAUUCUGGUAAUAAUGUCAGAGGGUUUUUUUGUCUCUUUUUGUUUUGUUUUCCACCCUACACACAUUGUGAUGUGAGCAAGGCUCAAAAAAUAUUUGUUAGAAAUAACAAUAGCUAUAUCCUAAUGAAUCCCCAAGUUUAUUUUACUAUGUCCCUUAAAAUGACUCUCUUUCUCAAAUACUGUAUAUGAUGCAGUAUAUGACACAUACACCCAGGCACUGGGACAGGGGAAGAGAUGAGAACAUUCAUGGUGAUGAAUUGAGAACUUCACACAUCAGAGCUCUUGUUUCAGUUUUCAUUCAUUCUCAUUAGGUGUCUUUCACCUGUGACUGUUGUACAGGCUCCCAUGUUCCCUAUUGGAGUGCAGAGUCCCAUCCCUAUGCAGUAGACCCAGGGGCAUGGAGUGGCCAGGAGGCGGCAAGACCGGGUAGCUGACUGAUGAAGGGUUGUGCACAGGCAUUCAACAGGAUUUGGGUAGCCUAUAUAAAGCAAAUUCAGAUUCAUUCAGCCAAGGGAUUCCUGAGAUAUAACAUAUCCAAAAUGAGAUGUUUGCACAUAUCAAAAUUCUAUAAAGUCCAAAUGUAUAGGUAAAUUGCCUUAGAAAUUGGCAUGAUGGAACAAUGCCUCAGGUAAAAAUUGCGUGGCAAAGUUGGGGUUAUUUGAUCAGUGGGUGAUGAUAUACCCCCAAUAUUCAAAAUCCACAUGCAUAGUAAUAUUUUAAAAGCAAAAGAGGAGCAGAGGUACACUCCGUUAUACAAAUGUUGAGGGUCAUUGAGUCAAAAAGUUCCUCAUAUACAGCCCUUCCACUAAGAAGAUGAUUUUAAUAUUCAAAUUCCUCUAUAAUCCAGAGACUUGAAAAUAAGUGUGAUGCAUCAGGGUCUGUGGCAGAUUUGUUUCAUAAUUGUGGGAUCAUUUGUGUAAGGUGUUUUUAUUCUACUCCUCCAAUAUGGACCUGAUUUCAAUAUUCCUAUUGUUCUAAUAUCCAUGUACAUAGGACAUUUGUAUUGAAAACUGGUAUUCCACAAAAACUGUGGGGGGAUAAUUUUACUUUGAGGGGUGGAUGAAAACAAGUUUGGAGAUGAACCAAGCAGCUCACCCUUCUCGGAGGUGUUGUAUCAGAAUGCAUUUAUCUCCAUGGAUUGUGCACAGUUCUUUUCCCCUUCCCAGCCUCCAAAAAGGAAUAAAGAAUCUGGGGUUUGCCUUGUC